RNAcentral lists this unclassified non-coding RNA (432 nucleotides) under soil metagenome. Its description in RNAcentral is "partial contains 5.8S ribosomal RNA, internal transcribed spacer 2, and large subunit ribosomal RNA". The stretch from base 5 to 119 matches the Rfam family "5.8S ribosomal RNA", at positions 40 to 154 of the family's 154-position model. The record is from RNAcentral.
GAUGAGAACGCAGUGAAAUGCGAUACGUAAUGUGAAUUGCAGAAUUCAGUGAAUCAUCGAAUCUUUGAACGCAUAUUGCGCUCUCUGGUAUUCCGGAGAGCAUGCUUGUUUGAGUAUCAGUAAACACCUCAACUUCCAUAUCUUUUUUGAAAUGGGAGUUGGACUUGAGUGAUCCCAACGCUUUUCCUCACCGAAAAGUGGCGGGUUACUUGAAAUGCAGGUGCAGCUGGACUUUUCUCUGAGCUAUAAGCAUAUCUAUUUAGUCUGCCUAAAAAACAGAUUAUUACCUUUGCUGCAGCUAACAUAAAGGAGAUUAGUUCUUGUGCUGACUGAUGCAGGAUUCACAAAGACAGGCUUCGGCCGACUUUGUAAACUCGAUCUCAAAUCAAGUAAGACUACCCGCUGAACUUAAGCAUAUCAAUAAGCGGAGGA